Molecule: ribosomal RNA, 917 nt
Filed under: uncultured bacterium
Lineage: Bacteria
Description: bacterial SSU rRNA
Rfam family: Bacterial small subunit ribosomal RNA
Source: RNAcentral
GAGUUUGAUCAUGGCUCAGGAUGAACGCUAGCGGCAGGCUUAACACAUGCAAGUCGAGGGGCAUCGGGAGGGAAGCUUGCUUUCCUUGCCGGCGACCGGCGCACGGGUGAGUAACACGUAUGCAACCUGCCCUCUUCAGGGGGACAACCUUCCGAAAGGGAGGCUAAUCCCGCGUAUAUCGGUUUCGGGCAUCCGAGAUCGAGGAAAGAUUCAUCGGAAGAGGAUGGGCAUGCGGCGCAUUAGCUUGACGGCGGGGUAACGGCCCACCGUGGCGACGAUGCGUAGGGGUUCUGAGAGGAAGGUCCCCCACACUGGUACUGAGACACGGACCAGACUCCUACGGGAGGCAGCAGUGAGGAAUAUUGGUCAAUGGGAGAGAUCCUGAACCAGCCAAGCCGCGUGAGGGAAGACGGCCCUAUGGGUUGUAAACCUCUUUUGUCGGAGAACAAAACCCGGGACGUGUCCCGGACUGCGUGUAUCCGAAGAAAAAGCAUCGGCUAACUCCGUGCCAGCAGCCGCGGUAAUACGGAGGAUGCGAGCGUUAUCCGGAUUUAUUGGGUUUAAAGGGUGCGUAGGCGGUCCGUUAAGUCAGCGGUAAAAUUGCGGGGCUCAACCCCGUCGAGCCGUUGAAACUGGCAGACUUGAGUUGGCGAGAAGUACGCGGAAUGCGCGGUGUAGCGGUGAAAUGCAUAGAUAUCGCGCAGAACUCCGAUUGCGAAGGCAGCGUACCGGCGCCAGACUGACGCUGAGGCACGAAAGCGUGGGGAUCGAACAGGAUUAGAUACCCUGGUAGUCCACGCAGUAAACGAUGAAUGCUGGUUGUCCGGGUCGAAUGAGAUCUGGGCGGCGAAGCGAAAGCGAUAAGCAUUCCACCUGGGGAGUACGCCGGCAACGGUGAAACUCAAAGGAAUUGACGG